GAAGGUUUCAAAUGGGUAUAGUUGGACGGGUCCGGUUCAACAUAUUGAACCUGCAAGUACCCAUACCAACCCGUAGCUAUGGCACUAUUAAAAUGCAGCGUUUAUAUUGUUCAACCCUACCUAACAUUAUUGGUAGCAGUCUACAAACACAAACCUAGCAUUUUAGAAUUUCACCCUCUCUCAUCUCUUCAUGUGACGAAGAUGAACCCUAAAUACAAUUCGUAGAUCUCCUUCCAUUUUGCCCUUCCGUUCAUCCCUUUCCAUUUUGUGCCGCUGUAGAUUAGGGAUGUUGUUCAUGUAGAUCUGUUCUUCAAACACGGAUAUUUCCCUUUCGAAAAAGCUUCCUCUUAUACCUGCUAAAGUCUUGGAUACCCAGACUCUCAUUUGUAUUGUUUCUACCAUCUGGAAACACCCAUAACAGAUGGAUCAAGGUCAACAUAGCAUGGAAGGAGUAUUAUAGCAAGGGAAAUGUAACUGUAAGUGUUUUAUAUGUGAUUGGUUGUGUCUUAAGGCUGAUUUUCAAAGUGUUUUAUGUGUGAUUGGUUGUGUCUUAGCUAAAUGUUUUCAAAGUAUCUUGGGCUUAGUAUUGUCAAAGUGUUUUGAAGUGUCUUAGGUUGAAUGUAAUGACAUAAAUGAAGAAAUUAGCCUGAUUUAUUUAAAUCUACUUCAAAUAGGUAGAGCUCUUUCUUUUGCCACUUGCAGGAAGAUCAUUAAAACUGAUUAUAAUUACACUAUUAUAUUAGAAACUGUGGCUUAGUGUCAUUAUUUUUGAAACUAUGGCUUAUUUUAAUUGUUGAAACUGUGACUUAUUUUAAAUUGUGUAUGUUUAACUGUGGCUUAGUUUAAUUCUUUUCCAAAGUGGGGCUUAUUUUUGGUUUGUAAAUGACUAUUAAUUGAAAUGUGUGUUAGACAUUUUUUUAAACUGUUUUCAACACUGAACUUACAAACUAAGUUAUGACAUGUUAUCACAUCGUGUGUUAAAUUGAAAUGACUAUUAAUUGAAAUGUGUGUUAAAUUGUGUAUGCAUUCAUGUGUGUAAAUGAAUCACACUGAACUUAUUUUUGGUUUGUAAAUGACUAUUAAUUGAAAUGUGUGUUAAAUUGUGUAUGCAUUCAUGUGUGGUAAGAAUAAACUAAGUUAUGACAUGUUAUCACAUUGUGAUAAAUUGAAAAUUGAAAAAUUGCAAACAAAUUAUCAAAUACAUGUCUUAGGCUACUUGUAUGCUAGCUGUUUUUUUGAAACUAAUAUGAUAAUUAAUUGCAUGCUAGCUGUUUUGAAACUGUUUUCAAAUUGUGGUUGGAUUAGAUUCACUGUCUGUAAAAUUUAUUAAUUGUAAAAUUUUAAAGAAGGAUUAAACUUUAGCUAUUGAUUAUAGCUAUAAAUUAUAGAGUAUAGUUGUUGAUUCAUUUUGUUCCUUUUCUGUUUGUAAAGUUUUAAAGAAGGAUUAGAUUUUAUUUUUUUACUAUCUUAGUACUAACCAUUCAAUCAUCACUGUUUGUAAAUCACUAUUAACUGAAAAACACUCUUUUUCUUGAAAUGUUGACCAUCCUGUUUGCUUAGUGUAUGAAAUGUGACUGGUAGUUGUUGAUAAUGGCUCCUUCACUUUUUCAGCGAGGGUUCAGCCUAAUCAAAAUCUACCAAUUAAUGAAGUUGGUUCAACUGCAACGACUACACCUGUUGCACCUGAAUUAGUUAAUGUGCAACCUUCAAGAAAAAGGAAAUCUAGUGCAAGUGGUUCUAGGCAAUCAUCUGCUUGCUGGGAACAUUUUAUUAGGUUACCCGAUGACUUAGUUGAUGCUCCCACUGCAGCUUGCAAACACUGCCACAAAAAAUACUUGUGUGACCCAGGAGUCACGACACCACUAACUUGAACCAUCAUAUUAAAAAAUGUCCUAAGAUGUCACUUGUUGUGUCAACUGACCCCACGCAGGCUAUUCUAACAUACCCAACUGUAGAUGGUGACCUGAUUCAAGUUAGCUCUAGAUUUGACAAGAAAGCUUGUAGAAGUCCUUUGUCAAUUUUUGAAGUGCUAGAUGAGCAGCCAUAUAGUGCAGUGGAAGGUGAAGGGUUUAAAUUUUAUUCUAAAGUAAUGCAGCUCUAGUUUUCCAUCCCAUCUAGGCGUACAGUAGCUAGGGACUGUUUUCAGCUACACUUGGUUGAAAAACAAAAGUUAAAGGCCUUUUUAAGUCUGAGUGCAAUAGGUAGCACUUACUACCGAUUGUUGGAGUUCUAUACAAAAUCUUAACUACUUGACCCUUACGGCACACUUUGUGGAUAACGAAUGGAAGUAUCAAGAAAGAAUUAUAAGCUUUGCCGUAAUUCCAAACCACAAGGGAGACACUGUAGGUAGGAAGAUUGAAAAAGUGUUAAAAGAUUGGGGGAUUAGGAAUGUGUCAACCAUAACUGUUGAUAAUGCCACUGCAAAUGAUGUGGCUGUGACAUAUCUGAAGAAAAAAAUAACAAAUAUGAAUGGGUUGAUGGGGGAUGGAAAAUGUUUUCAUAUGAGGUGUUCUGCUCAUAUUUUGAACUUGGUGGUAAAUGAGGGGUUGAAAGAUAGACAUUUAGCUGUAACUAGUGCUAGGGAUGCUGUUAGAUUUGUCAAGUCAUCACCUCAUAGGGCAUCCAAGUUUAAAGAAUGCAUUGAAUUUGUUGAAAUAACUUGUAAAAAAUUGGUUUGUCUCGAUGUUUCAACUCGUUGGAAUGCGACAUAUUUAAUGCUAGAGGCUGCGGAGAAGUUUCAACUCGCAUUUGAAAAACUUGAGGACGAAGACUUGAGCUAUAGGGAGUUCUUUGAAAAAGGUAACCCUCUAGUAGUGAUGAUUGGGACAUUGCUAGGGCUUUUUUUGAUUUUCUAAAGUUAUUUUAUGACGCAACUAAGAUUUUUUCCACCUCUCAAAAUGUGAGUUUGCAUACUUAUUUUCACCAAGUGUCUUCCAUUUAUUGUGAGUUGUAGCAAGCUACUAUGAACUUAAAUUAUAAUUUUGCAAGUGUGGGUGGGGAUAUGAUGGAAAAGUAUAAUAAGUAUCAGGGGAGUGCUGAUAAGAUGAACAAAAUGAUAUAUUUUGGUAUUAUUCUUGAUCCAAGAUACAAGUUGAGAUUUAUUGAGUGGACUUUUAAGGAUAUGUAUGGAGUUGGAUCCAAGCUUGGUGGUGACUUGCUCAAAUCUUUAAAAAAGAGUUUAUAAAAGUUGUAAGAUUGGUAUAAGCAAGCUUAUGACCAAAAACUCAAUUCUGGACAGCCUCUUGGUAGUGGUGGAUAAGCAUCCAAUUCUGAAAUAAAUGUUACUGUUGCAUGCUCUUCAGUUAUGGCUAGAGUUGAAGCUUUUGAGCAACAUUUAGAGGAACAAGACUCGAUUGAUCAAGAAAAUGAGCUUGAGGGUUAUAAUUCUACUAAGUGUGUUAAAAAGGAUCCUAAUUUUGACAUUCUUGUGUGGUGGAAACACAAUUCAGCUCAAUAUCCUAUUUUAUCUACAAUGGCUAAAUAUAUUUUAGCCACAUCAGUGUCUACUGUUGCUUCUGAAAGUGCUUUCAGCACGGGAGGAAGAGUCAUAGAAACCUACAGGACCUCUCUAACAGCUGAAAUGGCAGAGGCAUUAAUUUGCACCCAUAAUUGGUUAAGGCAUUCUUUUACAUAUUUCAAAGACAUGAACCUCAUGGAAGAUUUUGAGCCUUCAGAAGAUAUUGUAACAGAGUUUCAAGAAAUGUCUUCAAGAGCAAGAGGAGGAUCCGGGAAUUCAGGUGUCUCGUCAUCACACUCUCAGCCACAACCUUCUGGUUGUGCUUGAAAAUUCAGUCAUACAUGACUUAAAUAUUACUACUCAAUGGCUAGCUGGGCUAUUACGCAAAAGAAUCCAUCGUAUUUUGCUUCACUUUUGCUUUACCAGUGACAUUAGAGUGACAGGCACCAGGACAAUCUUUUCUCUUGUCGGGGAAGUACAUGGAUAUGAAUCAAACAGUCCCAUAUGCUGCACUUGGGUCUUUAACUGUGCAUUUGUUUAAUUCUCUUAUAAAAACGUAAUGCAAGAAUCUUCAACACCUAUGUGUCACACAUGAAUAUCGAUGAGGAACAUGUUAUCAGUAACUUCAUCGCCCAAGCAUUGAGUGGUGAAUCUCUGACAUUCCAAUCUCUACGAACCCAAACUCGUAGUUCUGUUAUGUCUCUUACAUGGUUGAAGACAUGUAUUAUGGUAUCUGGCUAAUGAAUGUCAAAGUAGAUGAAAGCCAACCAUAUACUUUUCCUAGGAAAGAAGGCAGUGCUUGCUUGUUGCAGCUUAUUUGGGGGAUUUAUGAAGUGGAUAAUGGAAUUGAUAGUCUUGCAGUUCAACUUCAACUUGCUGAUGUUUAAUUGAAUGCUGAUGUUUACUUAAAUGCUAUUGUUUUGUCCUAUCAUCCAUAUUAUUAGUAAAUUGAAGAAUUCUUUGAUCGAGAAUUGGUAUUUGUUUUGUAAGGAUGGAAUAUUUGGAUCAUAUCUUGUAUCAUUUUUAAUUAAGGUCUAACAUCAUAUUUAGUCUAUAAUUAAUUAUAUCAUUUUGUGAUAAGAAUAAAUAAAAUUUCAAUUUUUGAAAAUGCUCAAAAUGUGUUAUUGGGUUUAAAAGGAAUCAACCCAAUAACCCGAAUAAACCGUUUCAAUUAACCCGCCAUCCGCACAAACCUAUCAUACCCCAAAUUUGUCCUACCCUUUAACUUCUAACUGGCUUAGGCUUUGCACUCAUGUACAUACAUCACUUAGGUCAUAACUCACACUCAUGCAUUCAUAUCAUUAGUAUCAAUCAAAGACCAGCAGGAAAGAACUUUUGUGGCAAGGAAUCUCCUACCAGAUGUGUGGAUCUGAGGUAAUCAGGUGGCUCUAUGUUCACGGAAGUCUUCCUGGAUUAGGUUUUUCUCAGUCUCAAUCCAAGGCAUUGGUUGAAGGAUACUGGCUUGCAAAUCAUCCGGUUCUUUAAAUCAGGGUUUCUUUGACCAAAGUCAACCAGUGGACCUUCUGGUCAACAUUUAAUCAGGAAUGGUUUCUAUGUGUGAAAAGCUUCUCAUACCGACUAUGUGGAUGUGUUUGUUUGACUGGAUUUGGCUAGAAGAGAUUUAA
This is a long non-coding RNA of Vicia villosa (hairy vetch), 5082 nucleotides long. RefSeq lists it as uncharacterized. Lineage: Eukaryota; Viridiplantae; Streptophyta; Magnoliopsida; Fabales; Fabaceae. The record is from RefSeq and is a predicted model, not a curated record. The transcript is spliced from 10 exons.